CCCUUUGGGGUGUGACUGCGUACCUUUUGUAUAAUGGGUCAGCGACUUAUAUUCUGUAGCAAGGUUAACCGAAUAGGGGAGCCGGAGGGAAACCGAGUCUUAAUUGGGCGUUAAGUUGCAGGGUAUAGACCCGAAACCCGGUGAUCUAGCCAUGGGCAGGUUGAAGGUUGGGUAACACUAACUGGAGGACCGAACCGACUAAUGUUGAAAAAUUAGCGGAUGACCUGUGGCUGGGGGUGAAAGGCCAAUCAAACCGGGAGAUAGCUGGUUCUCCCCGAAAGCUAUUUAGGUAGCGCCUCGUGAAUUCAUCUCCGGGGGUAGAGCACUGUUUCGGCUAGGGGGCCAUCCCGGCUUACCAACCCGAUGCAAACUGCGAAUACCGGAGAAUGUUAUCACGGGAGACACACGGCGGGUGCUAACGUCCGUCGUGAAGAGGGAAACAACCCAGACCGCCAGCUAAGGUCCCAAAGUCAUGGUUAAGUGGGAAACGAUGUGGGAAGGCCCAGACAGCCAGGAUGUUGGCUUAGAAGCAGCCAUCAUUUAAAGAAAGCGUAAUAGCUCACUGGUCGAGUCGGCCUGCGCGGAAGAUGUAACGGGGCUAAACCAUGCACCGAAGCUGCGGCAGCGACGCUGAUGUGUUGUUGGGUAGGGGAGCGUUCUGUAAGCCUGUGAAGGUGUGUCGUGAGGCAUGCUGGAGGUAUCAGAAGUGCGAAUGCUGACAUAAGUAACGAUAAAGCGGGUGAAAAGCCCGCUCGCCGGAAGACCAAGGGUUCCUGUCCAACGUUAAUCGGGGCAGGGUGAGUCGACCCCUAAGGCGAGGCCGAAAGGCGUAGUCGAUGGGAAACGGGUUAAUAUUCCCGUACUUGGUGUUACUGCGAAGGGGGGACGGAGAAGGCUAUGUUGGCCGGGCGACGGUUGUCCCGGUUUAAGCGUGUAGGUGUGUGUUCCAGGUAAAUCCGGUUCACUUUAACACUGAGGCGUGACGACGAGGCACUACGGUGCUGAAGCAACAAAUGCCCUGCUUCCAGGAAAAGCCUCUAAGCAUCAGGUAACAUCAAAUCGUACCCCAAACCGACACAGGUGGUCAGGUAGAGAAUACCAAGGCGCUUGAGAGAACUCGGGUGAAGGAACUAGGCAAAAUGGUGCCGUAACUUCGGGAGAAGGCACGCUGACACGUAGGUGAAGUGAUUUACUCAUGGAGCUGAAGUCAGUCGAAGAUACCAGCUGGCUGCAACUGUUUAUUAAAAACACAGCACUGUGCAAACACGAAAGUGGACGUAUACGGUGUGACGCCUGCCCGGUGCCGGAAGGUUAAUUGAUGGGGUCAGCGCAAGCGAAGCUCCUGAUCGAAGCCCCGGUAAACGGCGGCCGUAACUAUAACGGUCCUAAGGUAGCGAAAUUCCUUGUCGGGUAAGUUCCGACCUGCACGAAUGGCGUAAUGAUGGCCAGGCUGUCUCCACCCGAGACUCAGUGAAAUUGAACUCGCUGUGAAGAUGCAGUGUACCCGCGGCAAGACGGAAAGACCCCGUGAACCUUUACUAUAGCUUGACACUGAACAUUGAGCCUUGAUGUGUAGGAUAGGUGGGAGGCUUUGAAGUGUGGACGCCAGUCUGCAUGGAGCCGACCUUGAAAUACCACCCUUUAAUGUUUGAUGUUCUAACGUGGACCCGUGAUCCGGGUUGCGGACAGUGUCUGGUGGGUAGUUUGACUGGGGCGGUCUCCUCCUAAAGAGUAACGGAGGAGCACGAAGGUUGGCUAAUCCUGGUCGGACAUCAGGAGGUUAGUGCAAUGGCAUAAGCCAGCUUGACUGCGAGCGUGACGGCGCGAGCAGGUGCGAAAGCAGGUCAUAGUGAUCCGGUGGUUCUGAAUGGAAGGGCCAUCGCUCAACGGAUAAAAGGUACUCCGGGGAUAACAGGCUGAUACCGCCCAAGAGUUCAUAUCGACGGCGGUGUUUGGCACCUCGAUGUCGGCUCAUCACAUCCUGGGGCUGAAGUAGGUCCCAAGGGUAUGGCUGUUCGCCAUUUAAAGUGGUACGCGAGCUGGGUUUAGAACGUCGUGAGACAGUUCGGUCCCUAUCUGCCGUGGGCGCUGGAGAACUGAGGGGGGCUGCUCCUAGUACGAGAGGACCGGAGUGGACGCAUCACUGGUGUUCGGGUUGUCAUGCCAAUGGCACUGCCCGGUAGCUAAAUGCGGAAGAGAUAAGUGCUGAAAGCAUCUAAGCACGAAACUUGCCCCGA
This 2237-nucleotide ribosomal RNA is filed under the name Salmonella enterica. RNAcentral's name for it is "partial 23S ribosomal RNA". It matches the Rfam family "Bacterial large subunit ribosomal RNA", at positions 582 to 2802 of the family's 2925-position model. The record is from RNAcentral. Lineage: Bacteria; Pseudomonadati; Pseudomonadota; Gammaproteobacteria; Enterobacterales; Enterobacteriaceae.